UCGGGGAUCGUCUAACGGUAGGACUGCAGAUUCUGGUUCUGCCUAUCAAGGUUCGAAUCCUUGUCCCCGAA
RNAcentral lists this transfer RNA (71 nucleotides) under Myxococcales bacterium. RNAcentral describes it as "tRNA-Gln". It matches the Rfam family "tRNA". From Rfam's summary of the family: Transfer RNA (tRNA) molecules are approximately 80 nucleotides in length. Their secondary structure includes four short double-helical elements and three loops (D, anti-codon, and T loops). Lineage: Bacteria; Pseudomonadati; Myxococcota; Myxococcia; Myxococcales. The record is from RNAcentral. RNAcentral also lists the same sequence under 1 other name.